Schistosoma mansoni is the source of this 46-nucleotide non-coding RNA. The record is from Rfam. NCBI's taxonomy places the organism in Eukaryota, Metazoa, Platyhelminthes, Trematoda, Strigeidida, Schistosomatidae.
GCACUGCUGAGGAGCCCCACAAUAGGGCAAAACGGUCGUCCAGUAC